AGAUCACAAAUAUCACUCAAAUACAUCACAAUUCAAUCUUAAUUUAAUUCUAGUUAAAACUCUUAUUGAACUUCAUUCAAAUUUUAGGCCAAACCUAAUUAAAUCUUAAAUCCUAAUAAAAUCCUUAACUCUAAAUCAAACCCUAAAAAAAUCUUAAACCAAAUCCCAACCAAAUCUUAAACCAAAUCCUAACUAAAUCCUAAACCAAAUCCUAAUCCAAAUCCUAAACCCUAAACCAAACCCUAAUCCAAAUCCUAAAUAAAAUCUUAACCAAAUCCUAAUACAAACCCUAAAUCCUAAACCAAAUCCUAAUCAAAUCCUAAACCCUAAAUCAAAUCCUAACCAAACUCUAAAUCUUAAAUCAAACCCUAAAUAAAUCUUAAACCAAACCUCAACCAAAUCUUAAACCAAAUCCUAACCAAACCAUAACCAAAUCCUAAAUCAAACCCUAAUCCAAAUCCUAAUACAAAUCCUAAAUCCUAAACCAAAUCCUAAUCAAAUCCUAAACCCUAAAUCAAAUCCUAAUCAAAUCCUAAAUC
This 539-nucleotide long non-coding RNA is filed under the name Physcomitrium patens. Its description in RNAcentral is "long non-coding RNA (PPAT_LNC008154)". The record is from RNAcentral. Lineage: Eukaryota; Viridiplantae; Streptophyta; Bryopsida; Funariales; Funariaceae.